RNAcentral lists this ribosomal RNA (465 nucleotides) under Vreelandella stevensii. RNAcentral describes it as "partial 16S ribosomal RNA". It matches the Rfam family "Bacterial small subunit ribosomal RNA", at positions 338 to 795 of the family's 1533-position model. The record is from RNAcentral. Lineage: Bacteria; Pseudomonadati; Pseudomonadota; Gammaproteobacteria; Oceanospirillales; Halomonadaceae.
CCUACGGGAGGCUGCAGUGGGGAAUAUUGGACAAUGGGCGAAAGCCUGAUCCAGCCAUGCCGCGUGUGUGAAGAAGGCCUUCGGGUUGUAAAGCACUUUCAGUGGGGAAGAAAGCCUUGGGGCUAAUACCCUCGAGGAAGGACAUCACCCACAGAAGAAGCACCGGCUAACUCCGUGCCAGCAGCCGCGGUAAUACGGAGGGUGCGAGCGUUAAUCGGAAUUACUGGGCGUAAAGCGCGCGUAGGCGGUCUGAUAAGCCGGUUGUGAAAGCCCCGGGCUCAACCUGGGAACGGCAUCCGGAACUGUCAGGCUAGAGUGUAGGAGAGGAAGGUAGAAUUCCCGGUGUAGCGGUGAAAUGCGUAGAGAUCGGGAGGAAUACCAGUGGCGAAGGCGGCCUUCUGGACUGACACUGACGCUGAGGUGCGAAAGCGUGGGUAGCAAACAGGAUUAGAUACCCGAGUAGUC